GAGGGAUCAGAGUCGUCACCUGUGUCUCUGAGAGACUGGCCACUCAGGCCUGAGCUGAGAUUAGCUACUCUGACUGCAAAUACUACAGCACCACAUGCUUCUCAGACUGGUGGAUGCACAGCUCCACUUCUUUGCAGAGAGGAUGCACAACAGCAGAAUAUCCGUGGCCCUACUUUCUGGAGCAUCAGUAUUACUACAAGAUUUAGAAGAAGCAAAGUUAUGUCAUUUCCGAGUCCCACAGGUCUUGAGUGCAUGCUGUGAACACUGCACUGUGCUAGGUGUCGAGGCCUUGGUGAGCAUCAUCGUGGGAGUGGAACUUGCUGGAGAAAGAUGACAUCAUAAAAUCUCAAAACCAUGCCA
This is a long non-coding RNA of Diceros bicornis minor, 360 nucleotides long. RefSeq lists it as uncharacterized. The record is from RefSeq and is a predicted model, not a curated record. The transcript has 3 exons. NCBI's taxonomy places the organism in Eukaryota, Metazoa, Chordata, Mammalia, Perissodactyla, Rhinocerotidae.